CUCUGUAAAUAUAAAAAAUUUGGUUUUGGUCCUUGGUAUUUUAUUUUAGUCCUUGUAAAAUUGAUUCAUAUUGGAUUUUGUCCUUGUAAUAUGUAGAAUAUUUGAUUUUAGUCCCUCAAAACGAGGACUAAAAUGAAUAUUAUAGGGACCAUUUUCAAUAUGAAAUGAUUUUACAAGGAUUAAAACAAAAUACCAAGGACCAAAACCAAAUAUUUUAUAUUUGCAGAGA
Molecule: microRNA precursor, 229 nt
Filed under: Medicago truncatula (barrel medic)
Lineage: Eukaryota; Viridiplantae; Streptophyta; Magnoliopsida; Fabales; Fabaceae
Description: MIR2630 microRNA precursor family
Rfam family: MIR2630 microRNA precursor family
Source: Rfam by way of RNAcentral